Long non-coding RNA from Stylophora pistillata, 447 nucleotides. RefSeq lists it as uncharacterized. NCBI's taxonomy places the organism in Eukaryota, Metazoa, Cnidaria, Anthozoa, Scleractinia, Pocilloporidae. The record is from RefSeq and is a predicted model, not a curated record.
UCACAACUUUAAAUAACGAAGGCAGCAAGUCUGGAAACAUCUCUACAGCUUCGAAGAAACGUGGAUUUUCACCAUGGGUCCUAAUAUGUGGAUUUCUAUCUCACUUGCAGUCCUGUUAUGUGUUACAGUAACCAACGCUCAGAAGAAUAUUGAAUGGCCCCCUCGACCAGGAGAUGAGGCCAUGACAACUAAAGAAGAGAGUAGUGACUCAAAAGAGUACGUCUUGUUGACCAGGUUGAAACCAGUGGAAAAAAGUGUUCCCGAAAAAAAACAGUUGAAACGAGACAACCGCCAGAGUUUCGAUGAAGACUAACCCAGAUUUGUGCAAGAAAUAGAAUGAUCAUGAUUUGAUGGACACCCUUGAGAUAGCGUACAUGAAGAAGAAUGUAAAACAAAUAAUGAGUGAUCUAAGUUCUAGUAAAUAAAGUAACUCGUCUUGAUGUGAAA